AACGAACGCUGGCGGCAAGCCUAACACAUGCAAGUCGAACGAGACCUUCGGGUCUAGUGGCGCACGGGUGCGUAACGCGUGGGAACCUGCCCUUAGGUUCGGAAUAACUCCCCGAAAGGGGUGCUAAUACCGGAUAAUGUCUUCGGACCAAAGAUUUAUCGCCUUUGGAUGGGCCCGCGUUGGAUUAGCUAGUUGGUAGGGUAAAAGCCUACCAAGGCGACGAUCCAUAGCUGGUCUGAGAGGAUGAUCAGCCACACUGGGACUGAGACACGGCUCAGACUCCUACGCGAGGAAGCAGUGGGGAAUAUUGGACGAUGGGAGAAAGUCUGAUCAAGCCAUGCCGCGUGAGUGAUGAAGGCCUUAGGGUUGUAAAGCUCUUUUACCCGGGAUGAUAAUGACAGUACCGGGAGAAUAAGCUCCGGCUAACUCCGUG
Molecule: ribosomal RNA, 433 nt
Filed under: uncultured bacterium
Lineage: Bacteria
Description: partial 16S ribosomal RNA
Rfam family: Bacterial small subunit ribosomal RNA
Source: RNAcentral